GACGAACGCUGGCGGCGUGCCUAAUACAUGCCAGUUGAGCGCUGAAGGUUGGUACUUGUACCGACUGGAUGAGCAGCGAACGGGUGAGUAACGCGUGGGGAAUCUGCCUUUGAGCGGGGGACAACAUUUGGAAACGAAUGCUAAUACCGCAUAAAAACUUUAAACACAAGUUUUAAGUUUGAAAGAUGCAAUUGCAUCACUCAAAGAUGAUCCCGCGUUGUAUUAGCUAGUUGGUGAGGUAAAGGCUCACCAAGGCGAUGAUACAUAGCCGACCUGAGAGGGUGAUCGGCCACAUUGGGACUGAGACACGGCCCAAACUCCUACGGGAGGCAGCAGUAGGGAAUCUUCGGCAAUGGACGAAAGGCUGACCGAGCAACGCCGCGUGAGUGAAGAAGGUUUUCGGAUCGUAAAACUCUGUUGGUAGAGAAGAACGUUGGUGAGAGUGGAAAGCUCAUCAAGUGACGGUAACUACCCAGAAAGGGACGGCUAACUACGUG
RNAcentral lists this ribosomal RNA (497 nucleotides) under uncultured bacterium. Its description in RNAcentral is "partial 16S ribosomal RNA". It matches the Rfam family "Bacterial small subunit ribosomal RNA", at positions 28 to 507 of the family's 1533-position model. The record is from RNAcentral.